UUGAUACAAAUCAUAUAUACAUGAUAAAAAAGAAUCAUAAAUCCAUUCUUAUUUUCGUUUGGCCUAUAAAUGAUAUACCCAUGUUACCCCUCACCGGAGAACUAAAUGUUAUCGUAACCUUCGGUUGUUCCUAGUGGACACUCCAUGCAACAAUUUCACAAAUCCUAGAUAGCUUAGUUUCCCAUCAGAAUGUCGUAUCCAUUCGCUCACAACAACGUGUAAUGGGACCGAAGGUCCGAGCCCCACUUACCGAUGCUAGUUCUUCAAUAAUGAUGGCCUUGUUACCAUCGUUUUCGAAAAUCUCGUAAGCAGAUUGGGUAAGUU
Molecule: long non-coding RNA, 324 nt
Filed under: Helianthus annuus (common sunflower)
Lineage: Eukaryota; Viridiplantae; Streptophyta; Magnoliopsida; Asterales; Asteraceae
Description: hypothetical non coding rna
Source: RNAcentral